Molecule: ribosomal RNA, 629 nt
Filed under: uncultured Pseudomonadota bacterium
Lineage: Bacteria; Pseudomonadati; Pseudomonadota
Description: bacterial SSU rRNA
Rfam family: Bacterial small subunit ribosomal RNA
Source: RNAcentral
CUAACACAUGCAAGUCGAACGGCAGCACAGAGGAGCUUGCUCCUUGGGUGGCGAGUGGCGGACGGGUGAGGAAUACAUCGGAAUCUACUCUGUCGUGGGGGAUAACGUAGGGAAACUUACGCUAAUACCGCAUACGACCUACGGGUGAAAGCAGGGGAUCUUCGGACCUUGCGCGAUUGAAUGAGCCGAUGUCGGAUUAGCUAGUUGGCGGGGUAAAGGCCCACCAAGGCGACGAUCCGUAGCUGGUCUGAGAGGAUGAUCAGCCACACUGGAACUGAGACACGGUCCAGACUCCUACGGGAGGCAGCAGUGGGGAAUAUUGGACAAUGGGCGCAAGCCUGAUCCAGCCAUACCGCGUGGGUGAAGAAGGCCUUCGGGUUGUAAAGCCCUUUUGUUGGGAAAGAAAUCCAACUGGUUAAUACCCGGUUGGGAUGACGGUACCCAAAGAAUAAGCACCGGCUAACUUCGUGCCAGCAGCCGCGGUAAUACGAAGGGUGCAAGCGUUACUCGGAAUUACUGGGCGUAAAGCGUGCGUAGGUGGUUAUUUAAGUCCGUUGUGAAAGCCCUGGGCUCAACCUGGGAACUGCAGUGGAUACUGGAUGACUAGAAUGUGGUAGAGGGUAGCGGAA